UGUCCAGGGAUGGGAAUCGAACCCACAAUGUUCCGCUUACCGGGCAGAUGCCAUGUCCACUAGGGGAUAGACCGAAGAC
Non-coding RNA from Cordylochernes scorpioides, 79 nucleotides. NCBI's taxonomy places the organism in Eukaryota, Metazoa, Arthropoda, Arachnida, Pseudoscorpiones, Chernetidae. The record is from the annotation of a GenBank genome assembly.